UUAUGUACAUUAAUGGUCAAAGAUCAAACAAACAAGCAAAAUAUACACAAACAAAAUAUAUCACACAAUAUGGUCCAAAUGGACAAAGUGAAACCUGCAUUAACAUAAACAAUUAGAAUGAUAUGAACAAUGGCAAAUGAAAUAGAGUGCUAAAUAUAAAUUGCAUUAAAGUAAAAGCUUGAAAUUAAAAGUUAGUAGUUAAUUGAUUAGGAGUUAGUAUUGUUUUGCUUUUUCUUU
RNAcentral lists this long non-coding RNA (237 nucleotides) under Lathyrus oleraceus (garden pea). RNAcentral describes it as "Pisum sativum (pea) long non-coding RNA (PSAT_LNC008788)". The record is from RNAcentral. Lineage: Eukaryota; Viridiplantae; Streptophyta; Magnoliopsida; Fabales; Fabaceae.